UGGUUAUAACAGCAAACAUGCAAAAUAACCUACACAUACAUCCAUCUGAUCCAAGUCAAUACUUAGAUCGAUCAAUGGGGGAUCAUGUUCCAAAAAAUCGGUGAAAUGCCACGGGAAGAUUGGCAACGUCGGUGGCAUCUUUCCAUCCAA
This is a non-coding RNA of Caenorhabditis elegans, 150 nucleotides long. Lineage: Eukaryota; Metazoa; Nematoda; Chromadorea; Rhabditida; Rhabditidae. The record is from Ensembl.